GACGGUGCCGAUCAUGUGAUGCUUCCUGGGGAAUCCUGGGGUGAACCAGUGAACGGUGUUGACGGUGGUCGACAGUUCUUUGACGUUGUCACCACUUGGAAAUGCAUUAUCUCGCAAUGGGCAGGGCAUGUUGCAUCUUAGGAUGUCCCUCGGGAGGAGAUGCUCCAUCUCAUCAGAUCCCCAAGAAUCCAGCUCUCUUCCAGAAAUGGAAAAGCCUGAUUUACUCUGAGAAAAUUCAACAUAUGACCGAUGAGCAGAUAAGCAAGUGUGCUGUGUGCUAUCGGCAUUUUGCUGACAAUGACUAUCUAGUAACCUUCCGAGUAAGAAAAUUGAAACGUGGAGUUGCACCUUCCUUAAAUUUGCCAAACAGACCAGAUUCUAGUGUACCUGUUAUAAUUAAAGUAGAAACAUCGCCUGCGAGUAGAGAAACAUUUACUGCAAAAGAAAAGGUAACAGAAAUUCCAAGAAUAAUAGAAGAAUUAGAAACAACUCAAAUUACAUUAUUCGAAGAUAUUUCGGAAGAAAUUAAAUCCUGCUCAUUCGACCAGUCACAAAUUUUAUUAGAUAAGAAUAUUGAGCAAAUUAAUUCAACGGCAGAAACAUUUAAAUUAAAUCAUAAAGAAAGGACGUCGAGAAAGAAACGAAAAUUAACUACAAAACAAUUGCAUCUACUUCAAUGUAAACAACAAGCCAAACAAUAUGAAAAAACACCUUCGAUUCAAAAGCUGCUAUCUUUUCUCACGCCUGCUGAAAUAGCAACUAUUAAAACUAGAAUACGAAAAGCAAGAUAUGCCCCGAGAAUAUAUGUAAGAAUAUAUCACAACAUUGCACAAAGGAAGGCUUUUAGUCACUUAAAGCUCGUAGAAGAUUAGUAAUUUAUUGCAAGUCUUAAAAUCAAGAAUGCAAAAUCAGGAUGUGAAAUUCAUCUGCUUUAGAAUAUCAUGAGAAGCAAAUCUUAGCAAGUAUGAAUUUAUCGCAAUUAUAUUAACAACAAAGAAUUAAUUUCGCCAUAAUAAUGAGGAGAAUAAUAUUUGAAAAUUAAUCCAGGACACGAAAGACCUAUCAUGUGUAAUAAAGGUGCGAAAAAUUAAGUAAAACUAUAAUUAACGAGUUCGGCAACUACAUACAGAUGGAAAAGAUUCAAACGGGCAUGUUGGGUGCAAAGUUUCAACAUUAUGUCGAUACAACGGUAGUUUUACUGUAUUUUUAAAAACGAAUACAUGAAAUAUACAUUUAUAAUUAUAUGUAUGUAUAAUUGGUAGAAGGAUUGUAUUAUUCUCUGAAUAUAGACUUCUGAAUUCUAUCUUAUCGCUAACGGUGUCGCAAAGAGUAUCGUAGAACGUAUUCUUUCUGAACACAUAAUCUUGACGGGGAUUAUUCGGUUGAGCACUUUACUCGCCGGUAACGAAUACUUUUAUUAUGCGAGAGAAUCUCUAUACUGUUAUCAAUAGAGAUUCGUCAUUUAGGAAACGCGUCGAUAAAUAUUGUUCUGUGCGUAACCGAUUUCGGGGAGAGAAGUGAGAGUGGGAAACAGGAAUAAAUUCGAUCGAAUUAGUACAAAUAA
RNAcentral lists this unclassified non-coding RNA (1564 nucleotides) under Acromyrmex echinatior (Panamanian leafcutter ant). Its description in RNAcentral is "uncharacterized LOC105152247, transcript variant X6". Lineage: Eukaryota; Metazoa; Arthropoda; Insecta; Hymenoptera; Formicidae. The record is from RNAcentral.